RNAcentral lists this ribosomal RNA (446 nucleotides) under Halomonas sp. RNAcentral's name for it is "bacterial SSU rRNA". It matches the Rfam family "Bacterial small subunit ribosomal RNA", at positions 75 to 521 of the family's 1533-position model. The record is from RNAcentral. Lineage: Bacteria; Pseudomonadati; Pseudomonadota; Gammaproteobacteria; Oceanospirillales; Halomonadaceae.
CCAGCUUGCUGGAUGCUGACGAGCGGCGGACGGGUGAGUAAUGCAUAGGAAUCUGCCCGAUAGUGGGGGAUAACCUGGGGAAACCCAGGCUAAUACCGCAUACGUCCUACGGGAGAAAGGGGGCUCCGGCUCCCGCUAUGGGAUGAGCCUAUGUCGGAUUAGCUAGUUGGUGAGGUAACGGCUCACCAAGGCCACGAUCCGUAGCUGGUCUGAGAGGAUGAUCAGCCACAUCGGGACUGAAACACGGCCCGAACUCCUACGGGAGGCAGCAGUGGGGAAUAUUGGACAAUGGGGGAAACCCUGAUCCAGCCAUGCCGCGUGUGUGAAGAAGGCCCUCGGGUUGUAAAGCACUUUCAGCGAGGAAGAACGCCUAGCGGUUAAUACCCGCUAGGAAAGACAUCACUCGCAGAAGAAGCACCGGCUAACUCCGUGCCAGCAGCCGCGGU